Molecule: ribosomal RNA, 230 nt
Filed under: uncultured bacterium
Lineage: Bacteria
Description: partial 16S ribosomal RNA
Rfam family: Bacterial small subunit ribosomal RNA
Source: RNAcentral
CGGGGUGGAGUAAUGCUUGGGAAUCUAGCUUAUGGAGGGGGAUAACUACGGGAAACUGUAGCUAAUACCGCGUAGUAUCGGAGGAUGAAAGUGUGGGACCUUCGGGCCACAUGCCAUAGGAUGAGCCCAAGUGGGAUUAGGUAGUUGGUGAGGUAAAGGCUCACCAAGCCGACGAUCUCUAGCUGGUCUGAGAGGAUGACCAGCCACACUGGGACUGAGACACGGCCCAG